This 461-nucleotide long non-coding RNA is filed under the name Pan paniscus (pygmy chimpanzee). RNAcentral's name for it is "lncRNA (ENSPPAG00000044414.1)". The record is from RNAcentral. Lineage: Eukaryota; Metazoa; Chordata; Mammalia; Primates; Hominidae.
GGACACCUGACAGGGCAGAAAAAGUAGAGAGGAUCUGGAGGGACAAAAAAUAAACAGUACAAGCUGGUAUUAGUUGUAAUCAGAAAAUGAGGUGUUAUUUAUAUAAAAAUGAACCUCAGCAGACUAGAAAUCAAGCAGCAUCAGUGAACUUAUUUUUACAGCCACGAUUCUGAGCUAACCCUAUGUUCAGCUUCAGGAAUGUGGAGAUGUUAUCAGACAUGGCCUGAGGCUCCCUGAAGAAGAGAGACAUGUAACCAACAACUAAAACACAGGAGCAGUCCAGGGAGAUGAUGCAGCUGCCUGGUUGCUGGUCACCAGGGCUGUUGGACACCUGUGUGGAGGACCUGGGAGAAGUCUUUUGCUCCACACUUGCUCCUUUCCUGCCAGCCUCAUACACAGGACCUGAUAGAGAGGUGGUUUCUGGUCCUGUUUAUCUCAUAAAUGGAUGCAGGAACGGAUGA